This 1437-nucleotide long non-coding RNA is filed under the name Cyanistes caeruleus (blue tit). RNAcentral describes it as "lncRNA (ENSCCEG00000007186.1)". Lineage: Eukaryota; Metazoa; Chordata; Aves; Passeriformes; Paridae. The record is from RNAcentral.
UUAUGGCUCUGAAGGCUUCCAGAGAGACGCAGCCUUUCAUUCCCUUCCUUAUUGGAACAGAUCAUGUUGCAGAGUUUAAAGGCCUCUGGAGCUGUGAUUUAUUUGAAGGGAGAAAUAAGGGAAAUCCAACUAUCUGUUCCCUGGCUCGGAUCAUCCAGUAACUCCCAGCCAAGGGGACGGAUCUGCACCUCCUCCACGGAUUUUUGAUUUUUUUCCCUCCUGUCGCUUACAUUAUCCCGCUCUAAAUAUAUCACCAGACCAGGGAUGACUCCUGACCUGGGCUUCAGCACCUCGCUGAGGUUUCCCCAGCCCUUCCCAGAAUCCCACUAAUAAAUCUCACAGAGCCCUCCCCGAGCUCCUCCACGCCACUGAUGGACCUGCGUGGGGCCAGUUGCUGCCUUGAUCCACAUCUGAGGUAAAGGAGAGGAUCUUGGGGUAAUCUCUGGAAUCGGGUGAUAAAUUCAUCUCACCUGUUCCUGCUCCCCUCCCUUGCUGCUCUCCCAGGCAGAGAAGAGCACAGCAGCUUAGAACCAGGUCAGGAAUUGUGCCUGAAAACCUUUUCCAUGCACUUGGAAUCUCCCCAGGAUGAUGCUGCAGCUCCCACAUCCCAGCAGGACUACGCUCCAGGCUGGGGCUGCCACAGCCGCCUCCCUCCCACCCCCAUGGAUGGAAACUGUUUUUCCCUUCUCUGAGGUUUCCUGCUGCCCAGGGAUGAAGCACCUGGAUGGCUUCUGCUGCUGUGAUGCAGCCCAGCCCAUCCCAGUUAUCCCAGUGGAUCCCACCAGCAGGAGCAAGGUAUCUCCUGGACUUUUGGGAAUGAUGAGAGUUGGUCCCAUCAGCACCAUCCAUCCUUUGCUGUACUCAUGGCAGGAGAAUUCCCUUCUCCACCGUGACCAUCUCACUGCAGGACAGGGAAGGAGUGACCGAGGUUUCCAGCUGGGGAGGGGACCUGGCUCUGGUGGCCACUCUCCUCCUGUCCCAGCCCCAUCCCAGCUCCUCCAGCCCAUGUUUUUGGUGGGCUAUUCCCUCCCCCUGUGCACAGACGGGCUCUGUUUGCCAUUAGCUUCCCCCCUCUGCCCCAGGAGCCGAUCCCAGCACUAAUUCUCACGCAUGUUUCGGGUAAAUCUACUUUCUUUCCCGGGAUGAAUUGUGGUUUCCAAGCACCAUUAAUCAUUUCCCUUUAGAAAACAGCACUGGGGGGCUGGAAACACAUUGCUCCUUUAUUUACUGGGGGAUGACCUGGCACGCUGGCACCCAGCCACGGGGCUGGCGCCUGCGGGACGACAAGGGGAGUGCAGAGAAGCCUCGGGGAGAGCUCCCCUCCUGUGCUGGGAACCAGCUCCCAGCGGGAUCACCCACCCAGGACAGAGCCCAGCUCCUGCCCAGGGGCUCACGGAGAGAGGGGACGGUGAUGGAGAGGAAAACGCUGGGAAUGCC